UGGCGAGAGAGUCUGGCUAGCUCAGGCUGCUAGCUCAGUGCACUGCUUGGGUUGGCUGGCGGCUCUUUAGGGGGAAGCCUGCUCCAUUGCUCCAGCAUGGCAGAUCUCAGUGAACAGAGAUGGUCCAUGGUUUUACUGUGUUUAUUGUAGAAAGGCAGAGAGGGAGAAGAGUAGGGAAGUAGAAGCCAUGGCCACUGGAGAGAGGGGAGAGGAGAGGAGGAGAAGGAGGCUAAAGGUGACAGUGAGAGCAAGAGCUUAAGGGAGAGAGGAGGGGCCAAGCAUCAGCUUUUAUAGUGGGCUGGGCUACCUUGCUGUUGCAGGGUAACUGUGGGAAGGAGCAUACCUGGCUAUAGCCUAAGUGACUGAUAGCCACAGAAUGAUGGAGCUGGGUCCUCAUGUCAGGAGCCUAUGUCUGGGAGCAUGGCAAAUGGGCCUUCUGUCCCUUGCAGAUUAAUCUGUUGGGUUUCUGGGAUUUGAACCUAACUCGACCAGAAAACAGGUUGCCUUUCAUGGUCCCACAAGGCACCUUUCUUUCCAAAGUCCUUAGAUUUGAGGAUGUAACUCUGCCUGUUAGGACAUUUCUAAUAGGAGUUAUUGGCUUACCUCUUAAUUUUAAUGCCACAGUGAGUCUGUCCAGUGAGUGCAGGCUGAUACAGUUAUAAUAAACCCAUAGUAAUUUUUAGCACACCCUUCUCCAGUACAGAACUCUAGUUCUUCCAAAACUUAGGGCCUGUUGACCUGUUGUGGGUGUUGGUCUUUAAUUUACAUGGUUACUCCCAGAAGGAGGAGACACACCGGAGUAUUGCUAAUUUUGGAUAAAGAGAACACUAGAAAAUACGUAAUAGGGCUGUGUUCACUGUACCUGACCUGUGGUUCCUGAUAUUACUGGAGGAUCUCAUUAGGGUCUUCUGGGACCCUGUAUCACUUUUGUUGAUAAAGUUUUAGCAAAACCCAGCAGCUCACUUUGGUAAUCAUCACUGAGUGUUGGCUGCAUCACUGAAUUCAGUUGGCUCUUUACAGGCGUGGCUUCCAGUCUGGUGGUCGGAUGUUCCUAUGAUUAUGGAUUAUCACUUUAAUUUUUUUGAUAUUUGUAAAAAAAUCAAUGCCAGUUAGUUUGUAUGGAAAAGGUUAAAUCCAGUGUUAGGUCAGCUUUUCAAAAUCAGAGCCUUGGGUUGUGUGUGUAUGUGAAGAACUACUGGCCUAGUUUGCUUUGUUUUGGGGUUUUCUGUGUAUUGGGAUAUUGAUUGAUUCAUUUGGGGAAAUGUUAUUUUCUAAACAAAGUGUCGAUAGGCUUAGGGGUAGCUUGAUUUUUACACACAGCCAGUUUUGUUUGAUUUCUCAGCAAGCUGUGAGUUUGUUCAGAGUUGUGUGCAGUGACAUCUUUGAUCACUUCUCCUGGGGGAGAAGAGUUGCAGGAUACAUGUUUGACAAACAGACCCCACUGCAGCGGUGGUGAUGUGACCAAAAAGUUCAAAGUGAGUUUCAGCAGGAGUAACAGUGGCUUCCAGACCCACGGUAGAGGUAGCAGAGGCUGCUUCUACUACUGUUGCAGCAGCUUGCAAAGUGUGUAGGGCCACCCACACUUCCUUCCUCUUCUUCAGCCACACCUCUAUGCUUAGUCGCUUCUGCCUGCUUGAACUGAGAGAACAUUAGUAUAUUCUUAUAACACCUACCACUACUCGUUUCUUGAACUGCCGUUUCCAUGUACCAAACACUGUUGGCCUAGUUAGUCUGCUUCACUUCAAGUCUAGCCUAGGUAUUAAACUGCUAAGUCUGUGCCAUGCAAGAAGGCUGCUUUAAAGUGGCUGGUCUUAGUGAUGCUUGCUGUUCAGAAAGAUGCCAGCUCAGUAAUGCAGUUGUUUAAAAUGUUUGUUCUACAAAGACAGGAAAAAGUAGUCAUUGUACUUAAGGUAUCUGCUUUUUAACGGUGAAUGUCAGGUUUGGAACCAUCCUCCAAGAUUGCAGGUGAGUGUUUACUAGUCCAGGUUUGCAUUUUCCAAACUUGAUGAAGUAAAUUAUUAGUGUAUUUAAUUUGUUGUGUGUUUCUGCCAGUUUAUUUUAAAAUUUGUACCUGGCUGUGUCCCCAGAGGACAGCGUCAAAGCUCUCUGUUUGGUUUAUUACCAGAGGGGAGAUACAGAUGACUUUUCUCUUACUAUGUCCCCACUCUUUUUGCCAACAUGUUCUGAUUAAACUUUUUCUGAAACUAAACAUGUUUUUUCACAGUUGAAAUUCUAAUUAUGGACAAAGGCAGGUGCUACAGACCAGGGGUUGAGUGGUGAACAGAGCUGGAUAAAGUUGAGACCACCGUAGGUAGCUAAGAGUGCGGAUGUCCUCCCAGCACCGUGGCCACUCCUUUACUCUCGAGGUUAAAGUUUUCCAUUCUAUACGUUCAGAUUUGCUAUGAGUAUAUUACUUAAGAUGGCGUGAUGAUGUAGUCUUGUAAUCUUGGCAUGUGGGAGACUGAGGCAGGAAGAUCUGGAGUGGAGGCCAGCCUGGGCUACAUAGUGAUACUAAGUCAAACAUUGCAGCAGGGAAGCAAGUACUUACAUUUCUUUAAAAGGCAUUUUAUUGAAAAUCAGAUUUUAGCCAAGGAGUGGUGGUACACACGUUUAAUCCCAGCACUCAGGAGGCAGAUAGACCUCUAAGUUUAAGGCCAGUCUACAGAGCAGGACUACAUAGUGAGACCCCCAUCUCAAAAACAAAGAAACAACAACAGCAAC
Molecule: long non-coding RNA, 2721 nt
Filed under: Mus musculus (house mouse)
Lineage: Eukaryota; Metazoa; Chordata; Mammalia; Rodentia; Muridae
Description: long non-coding RNA chr9:122127293-122130014
Source: RNAcentral